RNAcentral lists this ribosomal RNA (270 nucleotides) under uncultured archaeon. RNAcentral describes it as "partial 16S ribosomal RNA". It matches the Rfam family "Archaeal small subunit ribosomal RNA", at positions 477 to 747 of the family's 1478-position model. The record is from RNAcentral.
CAGCUCUCCGAGUGGUAGGGAUGAUUAUUGGGCCUAAAGCAUCCGUAGCCGGCUCUGUAAGUUUUCGGUUAAAUCUGUAUGCUCAACAUACAGGCUGCCGGGAAUACUGCAGAGCUAGGGAGUGGGAGAGGUAGACGGUACUCGGUAGGAAGGGGUAAAAUCCUUUGAUCUAUUGAUGACCACCUGUGGCGAAGGCGGUCUACCAGAACACGUCCGACGGUGAGGGAUGAAAGCUGGGGGAGCAAACCGGAUUAGAUACCCGAGUAGUCC